RNAcentral lists this ribosomal RNA (397 nucleotides) under uncultured bacterium. RNAcentral's name for it is "partial 16S ribosomal RNA". It matches the Rfam family "Bacterial small subunit ribosomal RNA", at positions 523 to 918 of the family's 1533-position model. The record is from RNAcentral.
AUACGUAGGUGACAAGCGUUAUCCGGAUUUACUGGGCGUAAAGGGCGUGUAGGCGGUCUUGCAAGUCAGAAGUGAAAUUCCUGAGCUCAACUCGGGCGCUGCUUCUGAAACUGCAGGACUUGAGUGCUGGAGGGGAUAGCGGAAUUCCUAGUGGAGCGGUAAAAUGCGCAGAUAUUAGGAAGAACACCGGUGGCGAAGGCGGCUAUCUGGACAGUAACUGACGCUGAGGCGCGAAAGCGUGGGGAGCAAACAGGAUUAGAUACCCUGGUAGUCCACGCCAUAAACGAUGAAUACUAGGUGUAGGGGGUAUCGACUCCCUCUGUGCCGCAGUUAACACAAUAAGUAUUCCGCCUGGGGAGUACGGCCGCAAGGUUGAAACUCAAAUGAAUCGGCGGGG